RNAcentral lists this ribosomal RNA (23 nucleotides) under Saprolegnia diclina. RNAcentral's name for it is "partial 28S ribosomal RNA". Lineage: Eukaryota; Oomycota; Saprolegniomycetes; Saprolegniales; Saprolegniaceae. The record is from RNAcentral.
UUUGGACCUGAUAUCAAACAAGA